This 359-nucleotide long non-coding RNA is filed under the name Bos taurus (domestic cattle). RNAcentral's name for it is "long non-coding RNA NONBTAT007477". The record is from RNAcentral. Lineage: Eukaryota; Metazoa; Chordata; Mammalia; Artiodactyla; Bovidae.
CAACAACAGUCAUUUAUUAAACAUCAAAUGACUUGAGUUGGGCUUUUGUUGUUGUUUUAAGUGGUUAAGAACCUGAAUGUAAAUGGUUCCUUGGAAUCUUGGGAUAUUCCAGUAUUUCUCAUGGUGCAAAUGCGCCUGAUAUAAUAGAUGAUUGUGUGAUAACACACCAAGACACAGUUAAACAGGUUUUGUUUUUAGUGUCUAUUAUUAAAGAAUAAGGUUAAACUAAAACGUAAGAUUUCUUGAUUACUAUUUUGAAUAAAUUUUUAGUUUGAGGUUUUUAUUUUAAGUGAGUUUUUUUAAUGAGUAAGGAUACAGCUUGUAUUUAGGUCUGGCAGAAGACAUGAAAUAUUAAUUAC